GGCGAUGUGGCUCAGCGGUUAAAGCAAUCGGUUCAUACCCGAUAGAUCGGUAGUUCGAUUCUACCCAUCGCCACCA
RNAcentral lists this transfer RNA (76 nucleotides) under Clostridia bacterium. RNAcentral describes it as "tRNA-Met". It matches the Rfam family "tRNA". Rfam says of the family: Transfer RNA (tRNA) molecules are approximately 80 nucleotides in length. Their secondary structure includes four short double-helical elements and three loops (D, anti-codon, and T loops). Further hydrogen bonds mediate the characteristic L-shaped molecular structure. tRNAs have two regions of fundamental functional importance: the anti-codon, which is responsible for specific mRNA codon recognition, and the 3' end, to which the tRNAs corresponding amino acid is attached (by aminoacyl-tRNA synthetases). tRNAs cope with the degeneracy of the genetic code in two manners: having more than one tRNA (with a specific anti-codon) for a particular amino acid; and 'wobble' base-pairing, i.e. permitting non-standard base-pairing at the 3rd anti-codon position. The record is from RNAcentral. Lineage: Bacteria; Bacillati; Bacillota; Clostridia.